Molecule: transfer RNA, 25 nt
Filed under: Uroplatus phantasticus
Lineage: Eukaryota; Metazoa; Chordata; Lepidosauria; Squamata; Gekkonidae
Description: partial tRNA-His
Source: RNAcentral
CAUGGUAGACGUAGUUUAUGUAAAA